CGGCGGACGGGUGAGUAACGCGUGGGUAACCUGCCUCAUACAGGGGGAUAACAGUUAGAAAUGACUGCUAAUACCGCAUAAGACCACGGUACCGCAUGGUGCAGUGGUAAAAACUCCGGUGGUAUGAGAUGGAUCCGCGUCUGAUUAGGUAGUUGGUGGGGUAACGGCCCACCAAGCCGACGAUCAGUAGCCGACCUGAGAGGGUGACCGGCCACAUUGGGACUGAGACACGGCCCAA
This 238-nucleotide ribosomal RNA is filed under the name uncultured bacterium. RNAcentral's name for it is "partial 16S ribosomal RNA". It matches the Rfam family "Bacterial small subunit ribosomal RNA", at positions 96 to 334 of the family's 1533-position model. The record is from RNAcentral.